GGGACCACAAUCAUAGUCAUUUUUCUGUUGGGGUACCUCAAUUUUUUUCUCAUCAAUUCUGCAGGGGAGAUGUUUCCAUAUUUUGUCUGCAAUUGGAAGAUCUGAAGGAGAAACUUCUUGAUUCAUGUAAUUCCAUUCUUCUCUCAAAUAGCUUCUAAUGUCUUCAAAAACUGAUUUGCUAGAGUGAAGUCCCAAAGAAUCCAAAUG
This 207-nucleotide unclassified non-coding RNA is filed under the name Hevea brasiliensis (rubber tree). The record is from RNAcentral. Lineage: Eukaryota; Viridiplantae; Streptophyta; Magnoliopsida; Malpighiales; Euphorbiaceae.